AUUAAGAGCUUGCUCUUAUGAAGUUAGCGGCGGACGGGUGAGUAACACGUGGGUAACCUGCCCAUAAGACUGGGAUAACUCCGGGAAACCGGGGCUAAUACCGGAUAACAUUUUGAACCGCAUGGUUCGAAAUUGAAAGGCGGCUUCGGCUGUCACUUAUGGAUGGACCCGCGUCGCAUUAGCUAGUUGGUGAGGUAACGGCUCACCAAGGCAACGAUGCGUAGCCGACCUGAGAGGGUGAUCGGCCACACUGGGACUGAGACACGGCCCAGACUCCUACGGGAGGCAGCAGUAGGGAAUCUUCCGCAAUGGACGAAAGUCUGACGGAGCAACGCCGCGUGAGUGAUGAAGGCUUUCGGGUCGUAAAACUCUGUUGUUAGGGAAGAACAAGUGCUAGUUGAAUAAGCUGGCACCUUGACGGUACCUAACCAGAAAGCCACGGCUAACUACGUGCCAGCAGCCGCGGUAAUACGUAGGUGGCAAGCGUUAUCCGGAAUUAUUGGGCGUAAAGCGCGCGCAGGUGGUUUCUUAAGUCUGAUGUGAAAGCCCACGGCUCAACCGUGGAGGGUCAUUGGAAACUGGGAGACUUGAGUGCAGAAGAGGAAAGUGGAAUUCCAUGUGUAGCGGUGAAAUGCGUAGAGAUAUGGAGGAACACCAGUGGCGAAGGCGACUUUCU
This 676-nucleotide ribosomal RNA is filed under the name Bacillus cereus. RNAcentral's name for it is "bacterial SSU rRNA". It matches the Rfam family "Bacterial small subunit ribosomal RNA", at positions 71 to 730 of the family's 1533-position model. The record is from RNAcentral. Lineage: Bacteria; Bacillati; Bacillota; Bacilli; Caryophanales; Bacillaceae.